RNAcentral lists this long non-coding RNA (387 nucleotides) under Brassica rapa (field mustard). RNAcentral describes it as "long non-coding RNA (BRAP_LNC006022)". Lineage: Eukaryota; Viridiplantae; Streptophyta; Magnoliopsida; Brassicales; Brassicaceae. The record is from RNAcentral.
UCUAACGAUAUAUAUUGCCAAAAACUUUAACAACUAAUAAUCAAAAAUUUCAGAUUAGUCAGUUACAAUUUUUUUUCUCAGAUUAGCAAAAAUAUGUUGAUGGGGACAUCGUCGUGGAACUAGUGAUAACAAAACUAUCAUGAUUUGUUUGAACAAAAAAAAAAAAAAAACUAUCAUGAUUUGUUUUCGAUGAAAUAUAAUCACUUGAAUAUAUUGUUAAUUAAACCAGCAAUAACAAAACAAACAUACGGUUAAUUUAUGUGGUUGACCAAAGAUUGUUACGGUUGUCGAGUUGACAAAAACAAGAAAUUAAACUUUCUGACAAUAAAAUGUGGUGUAAGCGAUUGUUUUUCUGUUCGUAAUAGUCAAAGUUUUGGUUCACUUUUA